Molecule: RNA transcript, 2373 nt
Organism: Populus nigra (black poplar)
Lineage: Eukaryota; Viridiplantae; Streptophyta; Magnoliopsida; Malpighiales; Salicaceae
Gene name: pentatricopeptide repeat-containing protein At5g47360
Exons: 2
Source: RefSeq, a predicted model, not a curated record
GUGGAUGGAAGGAUAGAAUUGAUAGGCAUAGGUUCUAAGAUAUACAGCCUCUCGAUCAGACACUUUCCAGUUCGUGGCUUCGUGACUCGGAGUUGGACUCAUCUCUCUCUUUUCCCUCACUAAACCCUAACUCCCAGGUACCCACAUUUCUUCCAUCCUUUUCUAGCUGUUAAAUCUCUGGCAGUCAUUUUUUUUUUCUCAUUUAAAACCAUCGCUAUAAACCCAUGUCACUUUUUUCAUUAACUCGCCAUUUCUCCUUCUCAAUCAAGCCCAAAACCCCCAAAAUCUCAACUUUACACUUCGCUACCACUUCCCUGGGAGAGAAACUUGAUGCCCAUCUGCAAAACAGUCCUAACAACGUAGAGAAAACCCUCAAUUCACUCGCACCUAUUAAACUUGACAACAAAUAUGUCAACGACAUCAUACACAGAUGGUCCCUUAAUAACGUUCAAUUGGGUCUUAGGUUUUUUAUCUGGGCUGGUGAUCAACCAAAUUAUAGGCAUAAUUUAUAUAUCUAUAAUAAAGCAUGUAGCUUGUUUAAGAUUAAGCAAAACCCGCAAGUUAUUUUGGAUUUAAUUGAGACUUAUAAGCUGGAGAAGUGUGUGGUUUGUGUUGACACUUUUAAGGUUGUUUUGAGGCUGUGCAAAGCGGGUGGGCUCGCUGAUGAGGCUUUAAUGGUGUUAAAGAAAAUGCCUGAAUUUAAUAUACGUCCAGAUACUACUGCUUAUAAUCUUGUUAUUAGGUCGCUUUGUGAGAAGGGUGAUGUGGAUAUGGCUAAAAAAUUGAUGGGAGAGAUGGGUUUGAUUGAUCUUUAUCCCGAUAUGAUAACAUAUGUCUCGAUGAUUAAAGGGUUUUGUGAUGUGGGUAGAUUGGAGGAGGCUUGUGCGUUGUUCCCAGUAAUGAGUGUGCAUGGCUGUUAUCCUAAUGUAGUGGCAUAUUCGGCACUUCUUGAUGGGAUUUGUAGGUUUGGGAUUGUUGAGAGGGCAUUUGAGUUGUUAGCAGAGAUGGAGAAGCAAGGUGGGGGAUGUCGUCCAAAUGUUAUCACGUACACCUCUGUGAUUCAGAGUUUUUGUGAGCAAGGUAGAACAAAGGAUGCACUGUCAGUUUUGGAAUUAAUGGAGGUUCGUGGGUGUGCUCCAAAUCGUGUCACUGCUAGUGCUUGGAUAAAUGGUAUUUGUAUGAAUGGCCAGCUACAGGAUGUGUAUAAUUUUAUCGAGAGAAUUGUUGCGAGAGGUAGUGUUUCGAUUGGUGACUGCUAUAGUUCUCUUGUGGUGUGUUUGAUAAAGAUUAAGAAAGUGGAGGAAGCAGAGAAGACCUUUAGGAGGGCUUUAUCUAGUGGGAUGAAGCCUGAUAGUUUGGCAUGCAGUAUGAUGAUUAGGGAGAUUUGUUCGGAGAAACGAGUGCUUGAUGGGUUUUGUUUAUAUGAAGAAGUUGAGAAAACAGGAUGCUUGUCUUCCAUUGACAUCGAUAUAUAUUCUAUUCUUUUAGCUGGGCUUUGUCAACAAUGCCAUUCAGCAGAAGCUGCAAGGCUUGCAAGGUCGAUGCUUGAAAAAAGAAUUCCUCUCAGAGCUCCUUAUGUUGAAAAAAUAGUUGAACACCUGAAUAAUUUUGGAGGGAAGGAGCUUGUAGCUGAAUUAGUUAGCAUGGUAAGGUGAUGCUGAACUAAAGACAAUUUAUUAAUGUUUAGCGGUUGUUUCUUAUUUUAGAGCAGGAUUAUCAAUACACAGUAAGGUUCUAGUUCAGAUGGAUCAUGCAUGAAAUAAGAGUUCAUUAAAAGGAAACAUAGAUCACACAUCUUGUCUUGUUCCUGGUAAAUUGUGGAAUCUUAGAAGUUAAUUCUAGCUAUCAUCAACUGCUGUUAUCAUGAACUGAAGUGCAAAGUAAACCGGGUUCUGAAAAUGGAGUACUGUGAGGCAGCCACUGACUGUUGUUUGCAGAAUAAUUCCAGCAGAUUAUGAUUUAAUGGUAAAAUAGCCCUACACUGGAGACCUGCUCAAAGAAUGUGGUUGCCUUGGCCAUUUCUCUGCCAGUUGCUAGGAUGAAGACAUUGAGGCUGCUGUAGAGCAGGAGGAGCUCCCAUGAAUGUUUGCGCUCAAUUUUAUCAUAAAAAGUGAUAAAAACAAAAGGAUAGAAGAUUGUUGGUAGAUUAAGUAGUUAGGCAGAAAGCUCAAAGUUCUCCAUUCUAAUAAGAGGCCAUAUUUAAUUUGAAGAACAGAGUUUCAGAUGGACAUAGGAUGAUGGAAAGGAAGUUUCCUAUAGUAUGCCAUGCUGAUAUUUGUACAAUUCAGGAAGAUGUCUUCAUGUGUAGCUCUAAGAAUUGUAAGCUCUUAACUCUGAAAUAUCAUUGUUCACUUGCCUUUCUGCUUUGUCUGA